Molecule: ribosomal RNA, 253 nt
Filed under: uncultured bacterium
Lineage: Bacteria
Description: partial 16S ribosomal RNA
Rfam family: Bacterial small subunit ribosomal RNA
Source: RNAcentral
UACGGAGGGUGCGAGCGUUAUCCGGAAUUACUGGGCGUAAAGGGCGCGUAGGCGGCAUGGCAAGUCGGGAGUGAAAGGCCUGGGCUCAACCGAGGAACUGCUUUCGAGACUGCCAAGCUAGAGUGCGGAAGGGGCAUCUGGAAUUCCCAGUGUAGCGGUGAAAUGCGUAGAUAUUGGGAAGAACACCUGAGGCGAAGGCGGGAUGCUGGGCCGACACUGACGCUGAGGCGCGAAAGCCAGGGGAGCAAACGGG